RNAcentral lists this long non-coding RNA (1232 nucleotides) under Phocoena sinus (vaquita). Its description in RNAcentral is "lncRNA (ENSPSNG00000012431.1)". Lineage: Eukaryota; Metazoa; Chordata; Mammalia; Artiodactyla; Phocoenidae. The record is from RNAcentral.
AACAGUAACUUUUCUUACCUGGUUUUCCUCUAGUGGUGCCAAGUCUUUUUCCAGAUAAUUUGGUCCCUAAAGCCUAUAUAUUCUCCUUCCACAAACAACUAACUGAACAUAUUCCAUCUCUUCCUCCAUGAAGACCUCCAAGAGGUCUUAACCUAGGCUGCCUGAGGUUCCGUGGUGCAUUUGCCAAACUCCAGUGGUUUCCCUGGAGUGGACCCUCCCAUAACUAGAACGCCUCUCUGAGAAUGUUGCUUGACCAAGCCCUAUGUGGACAGACGCCAGCCUGUUAGUUUUCAUUUUGGUUUGUUUCUUUAUAUAUUUAUUAAAUUUAAUUAAUUAUUUUUGGCUGUGCCAGGUCUUAGUUGCGGAGAGCGGGCUUCUCUCUAGCUGUGGCGCAUGGGCUUAGUUGCCCCGCGCCAUGUGGGAUCUUACUUCCCCCGCCAGGGAUCAAACCCACGUCCCCUGCGUUGGAAGGCAGAUUCUUUACCACUGGACCACCAGGGAAGUCCCUUCAUUUUCGUUUUUAAUAGUCAUUGUGACUGAAUUCUAAAAAUGAUGAAGUCCUUCAUCUGCAAGGCAGUGAGGCCCUCCCAUCAGAACCCUAAGGGAAAACAUUUUGGCUGAGAUUAGAGAAGGCUGGCCACACACUAGUGAUGGGUUCUUUACAAUGAGCUUCUGUAAGUCUAUCAAAGAAAGCACAUCCUCACAGCUGAGUUUAGCUGCCGAAUAAAAUGACCAGGAUAUGUCAUUCAUAUCCUUCCAGUCAAGAUAUAAACAGUCUGUUUGGAGGUCUGGUUACAAUAUAGUAUCUUUUGGUAAACUUUUUUUUGUAAUUGAAGUAUAACCUACAUGCAGAAAAGUACACAAAUCAUAAGUCUACAGCUCAAUGAAUUUACCCUGAAGUAAACAUACCCAUAUAACCACCACCCAGAUCAAGAAAUUACCAGCAUUUCAGAAACCCCUCUCAGGCCCCCUCCCAGUCACUAUGUUCACCCUCUCCUUAAAUGUAACCACUCUAAUUUUAAUCUUAUGACCUGCAUAUUUUUUGUGUAUCUGAUGGCCCAGAUAAUUAUCUCUGGAGGCCAGAGUUAAUCAGAAGCUGGAAGGACUGUUUCCCUAUGUGUCAUUCCUCUUAAGAAUAGUUUAUCAGGGCUUCCCUGGUGGUGCAGUUAGGCCAUUUUGAGAGAAGUUGAAUAUAUCAUGAUGCCAAGACCCAAUACAGUCAAGGAUCUUCU